UGGGGGAUAUUGCACAAUGGGGGAAACCCUGAUGCAGCGACGCCGCGUGAGUGAAGAAGUAUUUCGGUAUGUAAAGCUCUAUCAGCAGGGAAGAGAAAUGACGGUACCUGACUAAGGAGCCCCGGCUAACUACGUGCCAGCAGCCGCGGUAAUACGUAGGGGCAAGCGUUAUCCGGAUUUACUGGGUGUAAAGGGAGCGUAGACGGCGAUGCAAGUCUGAAGUGAGAGGCGGGGGCCCAACCCCCGGACUGCUUUGGAAACUGUAUGGCUGGAGUGCAGGAGAGGUAAGUGGAAUUCCUAGUGUAGCGGUGAAAUGCGUAGAUAUUAGGAGGAACACCAGUGGCGAAGGCGGCUUACUGGACUGUAACUGACGUUGAGGCUCGAAAGCGUGGGGAGCAAACAGG
This 404-nucleotide ribosomal RNA is filed under the name uncultured bacterium. RNAcentral's name for it is "bacterial SSU rRNA". It matches the Rfam family "Bacterial small subunit ribosomal RNA", at positions 355 to 776 of the family's 1533-position model. The record is from RNAcentral.